RNAcentral lists this ribosomal RNA (253 nucleotides) under uncultured bacterium. RNAcentral's name for it is "partial 16S ribosomal RNA". It matches the Rfam family "Bacterial small subunit ribosomal RNA", at positions 524 to 776 of the family's 1533-position model. The record is from RNAcentral.
UACGGAGGGGGCUAGCGUUGUUCGGAAUUACUGGGCGUAAAGCGCACGUAGGCGGCUUUGUAAGUUAGAGGUGAGAGCCCGGAGCUCAACUCCGGAAUUGCCUUUAAGACUGCAUCGCUCGAAUCAUGGAGAGGUGAGUGGAAUUCCGAGUGUAGAGGUGAAAUUCGUAGAUAUUCGGAAGAACACCAGUGGCGAAGGCGACUCACUGGACAUGUAUUGACGCUGAGGUGCGAAAGCGUGGGGAGCAAACAGG